UGGGGAAUAUUGGACAAUGGGGGGAACCCUGAUCCAGCCAUGCCGCGUGUGUGAAGAAGGCCUUAUGGUUGUAAAGCACUUUAAGCGAGGAGGAGGGUACUGGUAUUAAUACUACCAGCUACUGGACGUUACUCGCAGAAUAAGCACCGGCUAACUCUGUGCCAGCAGCCGCGGUAAUACAGAGGGUGCGAGCGUUAAUCGGAUUUACUGGGCGUAAAGCGUGCGUAGGCGGCUAAUUGAGUCGGAUGUGAAAUCCCCGAGCUUAACUUGGGAAUUGCAUUCGAUACUGGUUAGCUAGAGUAUGGGAGAGGAUGGUAGAAUUCCAGGUGUAGCGGAGAAAUGCGUAGAGAUCUGGAGGAAUACCGAUGGCGAAGGCAGCCAUCUGGCCUAAUACUGACGCUGAGGUACGAAAGCAUGGGGAGCAAACAGG
RNAcentral lists this ribosomal RNA (430 nucleotides) under Pseudomonadota bacterium. Its description in RNAcentral is "Proteobacteria bacterium partial 16S ribosomal RNA". It matches the Rfam family "Bacterial small subunit ribosomal RNA", at positions 355 to 776 of the family's 1533-position model. The record is from RNAcentral. Lineage: Bacteria; Pseudomonadati; Pseudomonadota.